UACAGAGGGGGCAAGCGUUGUUCGGAAUUACUGGGCGUAAAGGGCGCGUAGGUGGCCUUCUAAGUUGAACGUGAAAUCCCUGGGCUCAACCCAGGAACUGCGUCCAAGACUGGGAGGCUUGAAUCCGGGAGAGGGAUGCGGAAUUCCAGGUGUAGCGGUGAAAUGCGUAGAUAUCUGGAGGAACACCGGUGGCGAAGGCGGCAUCCUGGACCGGUAUUGACGCUGAGGUGCGAAAGCGUGGGGAGCAAACAGG
This 253-nucleotide ribosomal RNA is filed under the name uncultured bacterium. RNAcentral describes it as "partial 16S ribosomal RNA". It matches the Rfam family "Bacterial small subunit ribosomal RNA", at positions 524 to 776 of the family's 1533-position model. The record is from RNAcentral.